AUUGAACGCUGGCGGCAUGCCUAACACAUGCAAGUCGAGCGAGCGGCGGACGGUGGAGUAAUGUCUGGGAAACUGCCUGAUGGCGGGGGAUAACUACUGGAAACGGUAUCUAAUACCGCAUACCAUCAGAUUUGCCCAGUUGGGGUUAGCUAGACGGUGGGGUAACGGCUCACCUAGGCGACGAUCCCUAGCUGGUCUGAGAGGAUGAUCAACCACACUGGAACUGAGACACGGCCCAGACUCCUACGGGAGGCAGCAGUGGGGAAUAUUGGGCAAUGGGCGCAAGCCUGAUGCAGCCAUGCCGCGUGUGUGAAGAAGGCCUUCGGGUUGUAAAGCACUUUCGGUGGGGAGGCGGUACCUAAAGAAAAAGCAACGGCUAACUCCGUGCCAGCAGCCGCGGUAAUAC
This 406-nucleotide ribosomal RNA is filed under the name uncultured bacterium. RNAcentral's name for it is "partial 16S ribosomal RNA". It matches the Rfam family "Bacterial small subunit ribosomal RNA", at positions 30 to 526 of the family's 1533-position model. The record is from RNAcentral.